AUCCCUGUAGCGCAAUGGAUAGCGCGUUGGACUUCUAAUCCAAAGGUCGUGGGUUCAAAUUCUCUACCUGGGAUU
This is a non-coding RNA of Trichonephila inaurata madagascariensis, 75 nucleotides long. The record is from the annotation of a GenBank genome assembly. NCBI's taxonomy places the organism in Eukaryota, Metazoa, Arthropoda, Arachnida, Araneae, Nephilidae.